CCUACGGGAGGCAGCAGUGAGGAAUCUUGGUCAAUGGACGAGAGUCUGAACCAGCCAAGUAGCGUGAAUGAUGACUGCCCUAUGGGUUGUAAACUUCUUUUAUAUGGGAAUAAAAUGUUCCACGUGUGUGAUUUUGUAUGUAACAUAUGAAUAAGGAUCGGCUAACUCCGUGCCAGCAGCCGCGGUAAUACGGAGGAUCCGAGCGUUAUCCGGAUUUAUUGGGUUUAACGGGAGCGUAGGUGGAUUGUUAAGUCAGUUGUGAAAGGUUGCGGCUCAACCGGAAAAUUGCAGUUGAAACUGGCAGUCUUGAGUACAGUAGAGGUGGGCGGAAUGCGGGGUGUAGCGGUGAAAUGCUUAGAUAUCACGAAGAACGCCGAUUGCGAAGGCAGCUCACUGGACUGCAACUGACACUGAGGCUCGAAAGUGUGGGUAUCAAACAGGAUUAGAUACCCAAGUAGUC
RNAcentral lists this ribosomal RNA (460 nucleotides) under uncultured bacterium. RNAcentral's name for it is "partial 16S ribosomal RNA". It matches the Rfam family "Bacterial small subunit ribosomal RNA", at positions 338 to 795 of the family's 1533-position model. The record is from RNAcentral.